This 83-nucleotide ribosomal RNA is filed under the name Acidaminococcaceae bacterium. Its description in RNAcentral is "partial 23S ribosomal RNA". It matches the Rfam family "Bacterial large subunit ribosomal RNA", at positions 2842 to 2925 of the family's 2925-position model. The record is from RNAcentral. Lineage: Bacteria; Bacillati; Bacillota; Negativicutes; Acidaminococcales; Acidaminococcaceae.
AGAAGACAAGGUUGAUAGGCCGGGAGUGUAAGUGCAGUAAUGUAUUGAGCGGACCGGUACUAAUCCGUCGAGGGCUUGAUUUA